RNAcentral lists this unclassified non-coding RNA (219 nucleotides) under Hevea brasiliensis (rubber tree). Lineage: Eukaryota; Viridiplantae; Streptophyta; Magnoliopsida; Malpighiales; Euphorbiaceae. The record is from RNAcentral.
GAAUGACAUAAACAUGCUUGAUAGGAGGUGACAAGAUAACAAGUUGUUAGACAAAAAUCACGACUUUAUACCAAGUUCGGUCAAUUAAUUCUCAACUCCUUCAUAGCCAACAGAAACAAUAUUGAGCUCUCUCUACCAUUUCCCAGCCAUUCCCCAAUAGAGCUGGAAAUUUUAUAGGAAGAGAGAGCUGGGAAAUGAGAGUCUGGGUUGAGGGAUUGG